Molecule: ribosomal RNA, 484 nt
Filed under: uncultured bacterium
Lineage: Bacteria
Description: partial 16S ribosomal RNA
Rfam family: Bacterial small subunit ribosomal RNA
Source: RNAcentral
AUUGAACGCUGGCGGCAGGCCUAACACAUGCCAGUCGAGCGGAUGAAGGGAGCUUGCUCCUGGAUUCAGCGGCGGACGGGUGAGUAAUGCCUAGGAAUCUGCCUGGUAGUGGGGGAUAACGUCCGGAAACGGGCGCUAAUACCGCAUACGUCCCGAGGGAGAAAGUGGGGGAUCUUCGGACCUCACGCUAUCAGGUGAGCCUAGGUCGGAUUAGCUAGUUGGUGGGGUAAAGGCCUACCAAGGCGACGAUCCGUAACUGGUCUGAGAGGAUGAUCAGUCACACUGGAACUGAGACACGGUCCAGACUCCUACGGGAGGCAGCAGUGGGGAAUAUUGGACAAUGGGCGAAAGCCUGAUCCAGCCAUGCCGCGUGUGUGAAGAAGGUCUUCGGAUUGUAAAGCACUUUAAGUUGGGAGGAAGGGCAGUAAGUUAAUACCUUGCUGUUUUGACGUUACCAACAGAAUAAGCACCGGCUAACUUCGUG